Molecule: small RNA, 687 nt
Filed under: Pongo abelii (Sumatran orangutan)
Lineage: Eukaryota; Metazoa; Chordata; Mammalia; Primates; Hominidae
Description: processed transcript
Source: RNAcentral
UAAAAUUUCUAUUUGUGAAAACAGCAGUUUGUGGUAAGGCUGAAUGACAUGUUAUUGUAUUCAUAAUGCAUAUUAGUACUCUUCAGAAUCCCAGUUAAAAUUAUUUUAUGUUUGAUUUUCAGUUCCACUUACUUACAUGAUCAUUUCGAGAGAUGUAAUGUUGAUUGCUGCUGUUUUUUAUGUCAGAUACCGAACUCUUCCAACACCACGAACACUUGCCAAGUAUUUCAAUCCUUGCUAUGCCACUGCUAGGUUAAAACCAACAUUCAUCAGCAAGGUGAAUACAGCAGUCCAGUUAAUCUUGGUGGCAGCUUCUUUGGCAGCUCCAGUUUUCAACUAUGCUGACAGCAUUUAUCUUCAGAUACUAUGGUGUUUUACAGCUUUCACCACAGCUGCAUCAGCUUACAGUUACUAUCAUUAUGGCCGGAAGACUGUUCAGGUGAUAAAAGACUGAUGAAAGUCAUCCCUCACCAUUAGUAAGGAAGCAGUAUACAUCAAUGGGAACAGGGCCCGUGGAAAUCUACAGGAGUUUCCCUAUUUUGGUGUUCAGCUUGAAAAAGGACUUGUCAGAACCAACCAUGUCAUCAAAAUUUAAGUAAUGUGCAUUGAAAAUAAGGUUGAUCAUGGGAAUAUGCAGAAUUUCCAAUGUAUUUUUAAAUACAAAUAAAACUGUAAUUUAGAAUUUUU